GCCGAAGUGGCGGAAUUGGUAGACGCGCUAGGUUCAGGGUCUAGUUGGGGUUUCCCAGUGAAAGUUCGAGUCUUUUCUUCGGCACCA
RNAcentral lists this transfer RNA (87 nucleotides) under Pseudomonadota bacterium. RNAcentral's name for it is "tRNA-Leu". It matches the Rfam family "tRNA". Rfam says of the family: Transfer RNA (tRNA) molecules are approximately 80 nucleotides in length. Their secondary structure includes four short double-helical elements and three loops (D, anti-codon, and T loops). Lineage: Bacteria; Pseudomonadati; Pseudomonadota. RNAcentral also lists the same sequence under 3 other names. The record is from RNAcentral.